Molecule: ribosomal RNA, 253 nt
Filed under: uncultured bacterium
Lineage: Bacteria
Description: partial 16S ribosomal RNA
Rfam family: Bacterial small subunit ribosomal RNA
Source: RNAcentral
UACGUAGGGGGCAAGCGUUGUCCGGAUUUAUUGGGCGUAAAGAGCGUGUAGGCGGCCAGGUAGGUCCGCUGUGAAAACUCGAGGCUCAACCUCGAGAUGUCGGCGGAAACCAUCUGGCUAGAGUCCGGAAGAGGAGAGUGGAAUUCCUGGUGUAGCGGUGAAAUGCGUUGAUAUCAUCAGGAACACCGGUGGCGAAGGCGCUUUCUGGGUCUUACCUGACGCUGAGGAACGAAAGCCAGGGGAGCGAACGGGG